This 94-nucleotide small nucleolar RNA is filed under the name Sorghum bicolor (sorghum). RNAcentral's name for it is "small nucleolar RNA snoR128". It matches the Rfam family "small nucleolar RNA snoR128". Lineage: Eukaryota; Viridiplantae; Streptophyta; Magnoliopsida; Poales; Poaceae. The record is from Rfam by way of RNAcentral.
UUGCGAUGAUGAGAAUCUCAUUUGCUGAGAGCUCUGCUCGAUGAGCUUUGGAAACAAUCUUGCAUUGUUUCCUCCUGAGCGGUUACCUGAGCAA